UGGGGAAUUUUGGACAAUGGGCGCAAGCCUGAUCCAGCAAUGCCGCGUGCAGGAUGAAGGCCUUCGGGUUGUAAACUGAUUUUGUACGGAGCGAAAAGGUCUGCCCUAAUACGGUGGGCUCAUGACGGUACCGUAAGAAUAAGCACCGGCUAACUACGUGCCAGCAGCCGCGGUAAUACGGAGGGUGCGAGCGUUAAUCGGAAUUACUGGGCGUAAAGCGUGCGCAGGUGGUUAUGUAAGACAGAUGUGAAAUCCCCGGGCUCAACCUGGGACCUGCAUUUGGGACUGUAUAGCUAGAGUACGGUAGAGGGGGGUGGAAUUCCGCGUGUAGCAGUGAAAUGCGUAGAUAUAGGGAGGAACACCGGUGGCGAAGGCAAUCACCUGGACCUAUACUGACGCUCAUGCACGAAAGCGUGGGGAGCAAACA
This 427-nucleotide ribosomal RNA is filed under the name uncultured bacterium. Its description in RNAcentral is "bacterial SSU rRNA". It matches the Rfam family "Bacterial small subunit ribosomal RNA", at positions 355 to 774 of the family's 1533-position model. The record is from RNAcentral.